GAGUUUGAUCAUGGCUCAGAACGAACGCUGGCGGCGUGCCUAACACAUGCAAGUCGAGCGGGAAAGUUCCCUUCGGGGAGCGAGUACAGCGGCGAACGGGUGAGUAACACGUAGGUAACCUACCCUUGAGACUGGGAUAACUCGCCGAAAGGCGGGCUAAUACCAGAUAAGACCACGAGGGCUGCGGCCCAUGUGGGAAAAGGUGGCCUCUACUUGUAAGCUUCCACUCUGGGAUGGGCCUGCGCGCCAUUAGCUAGUUGGUGGGGUAAUGGCCUACCAAGGCUUAGAUGGCUAGCUGGUCUGAGAGGAUGACCAGCCACACUGGGACUGAGACACGGCCCAGACUCCUACGGGAGGCAGCAGUGGGGAAUAUUGCGCAAUGGGCGAAAGCCUGACGCAGCGACGCCGCGUGGGUGAUGAAGGCCUUCGGGUCGUAAAGCCCUGUCAAGGGGGACGAAACCUCGCCGACCUAAUAUGUCGGCGACUUGACGGUACCUCUGAAGGAAGCACCGGCUAACUCCGUGCCAGCAGCCGCGGUAAUACGGAGGGUGCGAGCGUUGUUCGGAAUCACUGGGCGUAAAGCGCGUGUAGGCGGCCUCUUCAGUCUGGUGUGAAAGCCCGGGGCU
This 626-nucleotide ribosomal RNA is filed under the name uncultured bacterium. RNAcentral describes it as "bacterial SSU rRNA". It matches the Rfam family "Bacterial small subunit ribosomal RNA", at positions 9 to 609 of the family's 1533-position model. The record is from RNAcentral.